This 497-nucleotide ribosomal RNA is filed under the name uncultured bacterium. RNAcentral describes it as "partial 16S ribosomal RNA". It matches the Rfam family "Bacterial small subunit ribosomal RNA", at positions 28 to 507 of the family's 1533-position model. The record is from RNAcentral.
GAUGAACGCUGGCGGCGUGCCUAAUACAUGCAAGUCGAGCGAACAGACGAGGAGCUUGCUCCUCUGACGUUAGCGGCGCACGGGUGAGUAACACGUGGAUAACCUACCUAUAAGACUGGGAUAACUUCGGAAAACCGGCGCUAAUACCAGAUAAUAUAUUGAUCCGCAUGGUUCAAUAGUGAAAUACGGUUUUGCUGUCACUUAUAGAUGGUUCCGCGCCGCAUUAGCUAGUUGGUAAGGUAACGGCUUACCAAGGCAACGAUGCGUAGCCGACCUGAGAGGGGGAUCGGCCACAUGGGAACGGAGCAACGGCCCAGAUUCCUACGGGGGGCAGCAGAAGGGAAUCUUCCGCAAUGGGCGAAAGCCGGACGGAGAAACGCGGCGGGAUUGAUGAAGGUCUUCGGAUCGUAAACCUUUGUUAUUAGGGAAGAACAAAUGGGGAAGUAAAAAUGCACGUCUUGACGGUACCUAAUCAGAAAGCCACGGCUAACUACGUG